AGGUAAUUUUUGAAACUCGCAUCUGAAUCCGCGGUGAGUUUUUGUUUUGGCAUUCUGUAAGACAUGUACUUAAGUUGAAUGCACACUAGCGACACAGUUGCGAGUACGGCGGCGAGUCGAACUAAAGUUGAUGCGAGAUUUUGACGUUUUUAGUAUGAGAUGACAGAUGUAUCCGCAUUCUGUAAGGGUGAUUCCCCGUUCACUUCGCUAUUCACUUCACUUACGAACUCGAUUUGAUCUGUCAAAUAAAAAGUUGAUGUUCGUCGAGUGAAAUUAGUUAUUUGCUGGUGAUAUCGUGUCUAAUAAGACUCAAUAAGUUUCAAUUAAGGUAAUUUAAUAGAUUAAUGUUUAAAAAACUUUAGUGUAGUAUUUUAUCUGGUGCUAGUGUACAUGUUUCUUCUGUUGAAAAUCGCUCAAAUGUUUUUAUUAUUAAAGUGUUUAUUAGAGGAAGCUCAUACUUUGGACAAUUUUGAGUUGCGUCGACAAGCCUAUGAAAUUCGUAGUCUGUCUCUAUUGACCCGAGAUGAUAACUAUGUCAGCGUAUAUAGUCUUUCGAAGCAAUUAAUCGACCAACUCGAGCUUGAGUUGCUCCCUAUAAUAAAAAAGUACCAAACGUCGAAGAAAAGGACUUACAACUCGUAUUAAGGUUUCAUGAAAAAUUGACAAUUUCAAGAUGACAUUGGCAGCAUUGAUGGCACUCUCGUAACUUAAAAAGACCGGCUGAGCAUGAAGAGCGCUUCUUCUGUCGUAAGAAUUAUCAUGCUAGGAUGUGCAAUUGAAAAAAUAUCAUGUGCAAUUGAUUACAGAUGACAGUUUUAUUUUUAAUGAAGAUGUAAGAGAUCACUUAGAGGCUUUGACAAAUGCUGGUGAAGAAAUUGUUUU
This is a long non-coding RNA of Pectinophora gossypiella (pink bollworm), 882 nucleotides long. RefSeq lists it as uncharacterized. The transcript is spliced from 3 exons. Lineage: Eukaryota; Metazoa; Arthropoda; Insecta; Lepidoptera; Gelechiidae. The record is from RefSeq and is a predicted model, not a curated record.